This 301-nucleotide ribosomal RNA is filed under the name Salmonella enterica subsp. enterica serovar Tennessee. RNAcentral describes it as "partial 23S ribosomal RNA". It matches the Rfam family "Bacterial large subunit ribosomal RNA", at positions 2642 to 2925 of the family's 2925-position model. Lineage: Bacteria; Pseudomonadati; Pseudomonadota; Gammaproteobacteria; Enterobacterales; Enterobacteriaceae. The record is from RNAcentral.
CUGCCGUGGGCGCUGGAGAAUUGAGGGGGGCUGCUCCUAGUACGAGAGGACCGGAGUGGACGCAUCACUGGUGUUCGGGUUGUCAUGCCAAUGGCACUGCCCGGUAGCUAAAUGCGGAAGAGAUAAGUGCUGAAAGCAUCUAAGCACGAAACUUGCCCCGAGAUGAGUUCUCCCUGAGACUUUAGGUCUCCUGAAGGAACGUUGAAGACGACGACGUUGAUAGGCCGGGUGUGUAAGCGCAGCGAUGCGUUGAGCUAACCGGUACUAAUGAACCGUGAGGCUUAACCUUACAACGCCGAAG